Molecule: ribosomal RNA, 693 nt
Filed under: Methylobacterium sp. Sco-D27
Lineage: Bacteria; Pseudomonadati; Pseudomonadota; Alphaproteobacteria; Hyphomicrobiales; Methylobacteriaceae
Description: bacterial SSU rRNA
Rfam family: Bacterial small subunit ribosomal RNA
Source: RNAcentral
GGCUCAGAGCGAACGCUGGCGGCAGGCUUAACACAUGCAAGUCGAGCGGGCCCUUCGGGGUCAGCGGCAGACGGGUGAGUAACACGUGGGAACGUACCCUUUGGUUCGGAAUAACGCUGGGAAACUAGCGCUAAUACCGGAUACGCCCUUUUGGGGAAAGGCUUGCUGCCGAAGGAUCGGCCCGCGUCUGAUUAGCUAGUUGGUGGGGUAAUGGCCUACCAAGGCGACGAUCAGUAGCUGGUCUGAGAGGAUGAUCAGCCACACUGGGACUGAGACACGGCCCAGACUCCUACGGGAGGCAGCAGUGGGGAAUAUUGGACAAUGGGCGCAAGCCUGAUCCAGCCAUGCCGCGUGAGUGAUGAAGGCCUUAGGGUUGUAAAGCUCUUUUGUCCGGGACGAUAAUGACGGUACCGGAAGAAUAAGCCCCGGCUAACUUCGUGCCAGCAGCCGCGGUAAUACGAAGGGGGCUAGCGUUGCUCGGAAUCACUGGGCGUAAAGGGCGCGUAGGCGGCCAUUCAAGUCGGGGGUGAAAGCCUGUGGCUCAACCACAGAAUUGCCUUCGAUACUGUUUGGCUUGAGUUUGGUAGAGGUUGGUGGAACUGCGAGUGUAGAGGUGAAAUUCGUAGAUAUUCGCAAGAACACCAGUGGCGAAGGCGGCCAACUGGACCAACACUGACGCUGAGGCGCGAAAAG